This 87-nucleotide non-coding RNA is filed under the name Penicillium rubens Wisconsin 54-1255. The record is from RNAcentral. Lineage: Eukaryota; Fungi; Ascomycota; Eurotiomycetes; Eurotiales; Aspergillaceae.
CGCCAGCGAUGGGUUUGCACUUCUACGCAGUGCUGGCGACCAGUACCACUUGAAGUUUUAUGCUUCAUGGGGGAAGCUAGGACAAGC